UUUUCUCAUCUUCUCUCUUUCCUUUGUUUUUACGGAGCUUAGAAACAGAGUAUGUCUAAGGAGCUGUUGUUUUCACCGGACAUGACACAAAGGUUUCAUCGACAGAUCUGAAGAAUUAGUGUCAACGACAACGUCGGAAGUGGUGGAUCUGAAGACCCUUGUGUCAACGACGACGUUGGCGGUGGUAGAUCUGAAGACCCUUGUGUCAACGAUGACGUCGGAGAUGGUGGUGGAAGUGGAGAACCACCGCAGAUGCACACACUUUUUACGGUCGCCGCUACAUUUUGAAGCUUCCGCCUGUUCACCACCAAUACAUCUCGAUUUCUCUACCGUCACAUCUCUAACCCUCCGGCCGCCGCCACUGUUUUGUUCUCCGUCGCCGCAGUAAUACAUCUCCGUCGCUAUAUAUAUUGAUUAUAUAAAAUGAAUUUACGAAACAAAUAAAAGCUAUAUUUAAUUUAUUUUUCUUGUAUAAUAAAUUAAUUUUUUUUUCUUUUUUCUUUUUCUGUGGUUCGUCGCAAAAAGGUCUGUAAUAUAUGACUUUAGUUACAAUCACAAUUCAGUCUCAAAUAUACGACUAUGAGUUAGUCACAAAACGUCGCUACAAAUAUAUGUCCCUAAUUAGUCUCUAAGAUAUGACUACGUAUUACAGUCCUAAUGUAGUAGCAAAUUUAAGACCAUAAAAUGAGGUCACAGAGUUGU
Camelina sativa (false flax) is the source of this 702-nucleotide long non-coding RNA. RefSeq lists it as uncharacterized. The record is from RefSeq and is a predicted model, not a curated record. NCBI's taxonomy places the organism in Eukaryota, Viridiplantae, Streptophyta, Magnoliopsida, Brassicales, Brassicaceae.